ACACUAUUUUGCCUUUUGUGUGUUCACAGUGUGCACUUUAAUAUUUGCGCCAAAUACAUUGUUUUAUUUAGAACUGUAAGAGGUGGUUCUGUUUUUAGGCAGCCCUGUUACACUUUAUCAAAGUUACACUUUUGUACUUGAGAGCAUCAUUAGCCACAUUUGAACUACACAGAGUAAUCACAGGGCACUAAGCCUGUGUAAAGAAAACUUCAGAAAAGCUCUUCAUGUAUGCAGGUCUGAAUGCUGAGUGCUGACCAGGUAGACUGUCAACCUUGCAUGCAAGCACCCCCACUUUUUGGACAGCCCAACACUUUCAACUUAUUGCCAAGUUGGGCGGUAUACUUUUGCUAUAAGGUAAUAAAAUAAUUUAUACUCUGUUGCCACAGACACAAUGCCAUAUCUCUCAACUGUGGUGGGUUCGAAGGGGCUGUUUACAUUCAUCCCUCCCAACAUUUUGAAUGUACAAAGAGGUUACUUUAGUAAUAGAGGUGUUAGUGGGGUGUGUGGCAAGGGGUAGGGCUGCCCUGAUAGAUUUCAGAUGACUUCUCACAUGGACUUCUGAUAACAAUUUAUGAAAUUAAAAUGUAAUUUAGAACAAUGUAUCUUAUUUGCACAGACUGAUUUCUAAGCAUAUUUAUUGUCGCUUAAAGACACACUACUGUGAAUAUUAUUGCUAUAGAGUUUUGUUAUACAAACAAAAAACAGAAAUAUGGAGUUCCUAGAAAAGAGACAGAGGAAUUAGGGUUCAAAAUAGAGAUUGUCCCUCCUAACUAGGUACACUUCGAAUGUAUGAAAAUUCAGGGUUCCAGGUGUCUUGUAUUUGUGGACAGAGGAUAUGUCCAAUAUUAGCGCAGCUCUAGCACAUUAUUAGAUAUACAGUACUCACAUUUCUCUGUGUAACCUCAGACCUAUAAGACUGUUGAGAAAGCACCAAGGAAGGUGUGAAAUGCCACACCCAGGGCUUUCAC
Molecule: non-coding RNA, 968 nt
Organism: Pelobates cultripes (western spadefoot toad)
Lineage: Eukaryota; Metazoa; Chordata; Amphibia; Anura; Pelobatidae
Source: the annotation of a GenBank genome assembly